UCUCAAUCUACCUCAACGUCGGUAGCGCGUAGGUCUCAUAAUCCUAAGGUCGUGAGUUCGAUCCUCACAGAC
Naegleria gruberi is the source of this 72-nucleotide non-coding RNA. Lineage: Eukaryota; Heterolobosea; Eutetramitea; Acrasida; Naegleriidae. The record is from the annotation of a RefSeq genome assembly.